GUGGGGAAUAUUGGACAAUGGGGGGAACCCUGAUCCAGCCAUGCCGCGUGUGUGAAGAAGGCCUUUUGGUUGUAAAGCACUUUAAGCGAGGAGGAGGCUACCGAGAUUAAUACUCUUGGAUAGUGGACGUUACUCGCAGAAUAAGCACCGGCUAACUCUGUGCCAGCAGCCGCGGUAAUACAGAGGGUGCAAGCGUUAAUCGGAUUUACUGGGCGUAAAGUGCGCGUAGGUGGCCAAUUAAGUCAAAUGUGAAAUCCUCGAGCUUAACUUGGGAAUUGCAUUCGAUACUGGUUGGCUAGAGUAUGGGAGAGGAUGGUAGAAUUCCAGGUGUAGCGGUGAAAUGCGUAGAGAUCUGGAGGAAUACCGAUGGCGAAGGCAGCCAUCUGGCCUAAUACUGACACUGAGGUGCGAAAGCAUGGGGAGCAAACAGGAUUAGAUACCCCUGUAGUCC
RNAcentral lists this ribosomal RNA (451 nucleotides) under uncultured bacterium. RNAcentral describes it as "partial 16S ribosomal RNA". It matches the Rfam family "Bacterial small subunit ribosomal RNA", at positions 354 to 796 of the family's 1533-position model. The record is from RNAcentral.